RNAcentral lists this non-coding RNA (83 nucleotides) under Bacillus sp. (in: firmicutes). Its description in RNAcentral is "Bacillus sp. ZTP sequence". It matches the Rfam family "ZMP/ZTP riboswitch aptamer (pfl RNA motif)". From Rfam's summary of the family: Previously known as pfl RNA. ZMP is also known as AICAR. The record is from RNAcentral. Lineage: Bacteria; Bacillati; Bacillota; Bacilli; Caryophanales; Bacillaceae.
CAAAAUCGCAGUGACUGACGACAAUGCGGAAUGAACCGCUGGGGAGCUGCGUCUAUGUAUAGCCGGUCGUCUGGGCAGAGAUG